CAGGGGGGCGAAGCGUUGUUCGGAAUUACUGGGCGUAAAGGGUUCGUAGGUGGCCAACUAAGUCAGACGUGAAAUCCCUCAGCUUAACUGGGGAACUGCGUCUGAUACUGGAUGGCUCGAGUGCAGGAGAGGAAUGCGGAAUUCCAGGUGUAGCGGUGAAAUGCGUAGAUAUCUGGAGGAACACCGGUGGCGAAGGCGGCAUUCUGGACUGCAACUGACACUGAUGAACGAAAGCCAGGGGAGCAAACGGGAUUAGAUACCCCGGUAGUCCUGGCCCUAAACGAUGAAUGCUUGGUGUAACGGGUAUCGAUCCCUGUUGUGCCGAAGCUAACGCAUUAAGCAUUCCGCCUGGGGAGUACGGUCGCAAGGCUG
RNAcentral lists this ribosomal RNA (372 nucleotides) under uncultured organism. RNAcentral describes it as "bacterial SSU rRNA". It matches the Rfam family "Bacterial small subunit ribosomal RNA", at positions 526 to 896 of the family's 1533-position model. The record is from RNAcentral.